RNAcentral lists this ribosomal RNA (497 nucleotides) under uncultured bacterium. RNAcentral's name for it is "partial 16S ribosomal RNA". It matches the Rfam family "Bacterial small subunit ribosomal RNA", at positions 28 to 507 of the family's 1533-position model. The record is from RNAcentral.
GAUGAACGCUGGCGGCGUACCUAAUACAUGCAAGUCGAGCGAACAGACGAGGAGCUUGCUCCUCUGACGUUAGCGGCGGACGGGUGAGUAACACGUGGAUAACCUACCUAUAAGACUGGGAUAACUUCGGGAAACCGGAGCUAAUACCGGAUAAUAUAUUGAACCGCAUGGUUCAAUAGUGAAAGACGGUUUUGCUGUCACUUAUAGAUGGAUCCGCGCCGCAUUAGCUAGUUGGUAAGGUAACGGCUUACCAAGGCGACGAUGCGUAGACGACCUGAGAGUGUGAUCGGCCACACUGGAACUGAGACACGGUCCAGACUCCUACGGGAGGCAGCAGUAGGGAAUCUUCCGCAAAGGGCGAAAGCCUGACGGAGCAAAGCCGCGUGAGUGAUGAAGGUCUUCGGAUCGUAAAACUCUGUUAUUAGGGAAGAACAAAUGUGUAAGUAACUAUGCACGUCUUGACGGUACCUAAUCAGAAAGCCACGGCUAACUACGUG